CUGCGAUAAGCGCCGGUAAGGUGAUAUGAACCGUUAUAACCGGCGAUACCCGAAUGGGGAAACCCAGUGUGACUCGUCACACUAUCAUUAACUGAAUCCAUAGGUUAAUGAGGCGAACCGGGGGAACUGAAACAUCUAAGUACCCCGAGGAAAAGAAAUCAACCGAGAUUCCCCCAGUAGCGGCGAGCGAACGGGGAGGAGCCCAGAGCCUGAAUCAGCAUGUGUGUUAGUGGAAGCGUCUGGAAAGGCGCGCGAUACAGGGUGACAGCCCCGUACACAAAAGCGCAUGUGCUGUGAGCUCGAUGAGUAGGGCGGGACACGUGGUAUCCUGUCUGAAUAUGGGGGGACCAUCCUCCAAGGCUAAAUACUCCUGACUGACCGAUAGUGAACCAGUACCGUGAGGGAAAGGCGAAAAGAACCCCGGCGAGGGGAGUGAAAAAGAACCUGAAACCGUGUACGUACAAGCAGUGGGAGCCCCACCACCAAAGCAUUCUCUGGUGUUGAAGGCCCUGCAAAGCAGCAUCGCGGUGGCGGAGCGUCGUUUGCGACGCCCAACACACAAAACAAGCGGUGAGUGCUUUGGGGUGGGGUGACUGCGUACCUUUUGUAUAAUGGGUCAGCGACUUAUAUUCUGUAGCAAGGUUAACCGAAUAGGGGAGCCGCAGGGAAACCGAGUCUUAAUUGGGCGUUAAGUUGCAGGGUAUAGACCCGAAACCCGGUGAUCUAGCCAUGGGCAGGUUGAAGGUUGGGUAACACUAACUGGAGGACCGAACCGACUAAUGUUGAAAAAUUAGCGGAUGACCUGUGGCUGGGGGUGAAAGGCCAAUCAAACCGGGAGAUAGCUGGUUCUCCCCGAAAGCU
Molecule: ribosomal RNA, 861 nt
Filed under: Salmonella enterica subsp. enterica serovar Corvallis
Lineage: Bacteria; Pseudomonadati; Pseudomonadota; Gammaproteobacteria; Enterobacterales; Enterobacteriaceae
Description: partial 23S ribosomal RNA
Rfam family: Bacterial large subunit ribosomal RNA
Source: RNAcentral